UGGAGACAGGUGCUGCAUGGCUGUCGUCAGCUCGUGUCGUGAGAUGUAGGGUUAAGUCCCGCAACGAGCGCAACCCUUUGUCUUUAAUUGCCAUCAUUGAGUUGGGCACUUUAAAGAGACUGCCGGUGUUAAACCGGAGGAAGGUGGGGAUGACGUCAAGUCCUCAUGGCCUUUAUGACCAGGGCUACACACGUACUACAAUGGCCGGUACAAAGGGCAGCGACACAGCGAUGUGAAGCCAAUCCCGAAAAGCCGGUCUCAGUCCGGAUUGGAGUCUGCAACUCGACUCCAUGAAGUUGGAAUCGCUAGUAAUCGUGGAUCAGCACGCCACGGUGAAUACGUUCCCGGGCCUU
RNAcentral lists this ribosomal RNA (353 nucleotides) under uncultured Desulfocapsa sp. RNAcentral's name for it is "bacterial SSU rRNA". It matches the Rfam family "Bacterial small subunit ribosomal RNA", at positions 1029 to 1382 of the family's 1533-position model. Lineage: Bacteria; Pseudomonadati; Thermodesulfobacteriota; Desulfobulbia; Desulfobulbales; Desulfocapsaceae. The record is from RNAcentral.